This 78-nucleotide transfer RNA is filed under the name Streptomyces sp. ADI95-16. Its description in RNAcentral is "tRNA-Arg". Lineage: Bacteria; Bacillati; Actinomycetota; Actinomycetes; Kitasatosporales; Streptomycetaceae. The record is from RNAcentral.
ACCGGCCAUGGCGCGGUUGAACGUACCGCGUCCGUGCCGGUCCUUCCGGUGCCGGUCGUGCAACUCGGCCGGCCCGUC